Molecule: ribosomal RNA, 397 nt
Filed under: uncultured bacterium
Lineage: Bacteria
Description: partial 16S ribosomal RNA
Rfam family: Bacterial small subunit ribosomal RNA
Source: RNAcentral
AUACGUAGGGGGCGAGCGUUGUCCGGAAUUACUGGGCGUAAAGGGUGCGUAGGUGGCACUUUAAGUUGGAUGUGAAAUCCCCGUGCUUAACAUGGGAGCUGCAUCCAAUACUGGAGAGCUAGAGUGCAGGAGAGGUAAGCGGAAUUCCUAGUGUAGCGGUGAAAUGCGUAGAUAUUAGGAGGAUCACCAGUGGCGAAGGCGGCUUACUUGACUGUAACUGACACUGAGGCUCGAUAGCGUGGUGAGCAAACAGGAUUAGAUACCCUGGUAGUCCACGCUGUAAACGAUGAAUACGAGGUGUAGGGGGUAUCAACUCCCUCUGUGCCGCAGCAAACGCAAUAAGUAUUCCGCCUGGGGAGAUCGGCCGCAAGGUUGAUGCUGACAUGAAUUGACGGGG